RNAcentral lists this unclassified non-coding RNA (451 nucleotides) under Hevea brasiliensis (rubber tree). Lineage: Eukaryota; Viridiplantae; Streptophyta; Magnoliopsida; Malpighiales; Euphorbiaceae. The record is from RNAcentral.
AUAGAUCCUGAGUAUCAACAAACAGGAAUGUUAACUACAAGAUCAGAUAUAUACUCGUUGGGAAUAAUGUUGCUUCAAAUUAUCACCGCCAAAUCUCCAAUGGGUCUUGCACAUCAGGUGGGGAAGGCCAUUGAAAGAGGAACAUUUGAAGAGAUGCUCGACCCCUCUGUGACAGACUGGCCUGUUGAAGAGACGUUAAACUUUGCUAAAAUGGCACUGAAGUGUGCUGAACUAAGAAAGAAGGACAGGCCAAAUCUUGCCACGGUUAUAGUGCCAGAGCUUAACCGAUUGAAAGAACUUGGAAGGCAUCACGCUGAUCAACAUGGUGAUCCUCGACACAGCAGUAGGAGUCGUAGUCGUAGCCCUCUGGCACAUUCUUCUCCAACUGCUUUACACCCAAGGAUCCCACAACCCACUCAGGUUUGGGGCUCAUUCAUCAUGGAUUUUAACG